UAGGGAAUAUUGGACAAUGGGGGCAACCCUGAUCCAGCCAUGCCGCGUGAGUGAAGAAGGCCCUCGGGUUGUAAAGCUCUUUUGUCCGGAAAGAAAAGCAUUCGGUGAAUACCCGGAUGUUCUGACGGUACCGGAAGAAUAAGCACCGGCUAACUUCGUGCCAGCAGCCGCGGUAAUACGAAGGGUGCAAGCGUUACUCGGAAUUACUGGGCGUAAAGCGUGCGUAGGUGGUUGUUUAAGUCUGAUGUGAAAGCCCUGGGCUCAACCUGGGAAUGGCAUUGGAAACUGGGCAGCUAGAGUGCGGUAGAGGGUAGUGGAAUUCCCGGUGUAGCAGUGAAAUGCGUAGAGAUCGGGAGGAACAUCCGUGGCGAAGGCGACUGCCUGGACCAGCACUGACACUGAGGCACGAAGGCGUGGGGAGCAAACA
Molecule: ribosomal RNA, 427 nt
Filed under: uncultured bacterium
Lineage: Bacteria
Description: bacterial SSU rRNA
Rfam family: Bacterial small subunit ribosomal RNA
Source: RNAcentral